UGGGGAAUAUUGGACAAUGGGCGCAAGCCUGAUCCAGCCAUGCCGCGUGAGUGACGAAGGCCUUAGGGUUGUAAAGCUCUUUUUGGCGGGGACGAUAAUGACGGUACCCGCAGAAUAAGCUCCGGCUAACUUCGUGCCAGCAGCCGCGGUAAUACGAAGGGAGCUAGCGUUGUUCGGAAUCACUGGGCGUAAAGCGCACGUAGGUGGGCAGUUAAGUCAGGGGUGAAAGCCCGAGGCUCAACCUCGGAAUUGCCUCUGAUACUGGCUGUCUAGAGUUCGAGAGAGGUGAGUGGAAUUCCUAGUGUAGAGGUGAAAUUCGUAGAUAUUAGGAAGAACACCGGUGGCGAAGGCGGCUCACUGGCUCGAUACUGACACUGAGGUGCGAAAGCGUGGGGAGCAAACAGGAUUAGAUACCCACGUAGUCCCUGAGCGGGCUGGCAAGGCGCAU
Molecule: ribosomal RNA, 448 nt
Filed under: uncultured bacterium
Lineage: Bacteria
Description: bacterial SSU rRNA
Rfam family: Bacterial small subunit ribosomal RNA
Source: RNAcentral